Molecule: ribosomal RNA, 253 nt
Filed under: uncultured bacterium
Lineage: Bacteria
Description: partial 16S ribosomal RNA
Rfam family: Bacterial small subunit ribosomal RNA
Source: RNAcentral
UACGAAGGGGGCUAGCGUUGCUCGGAAUCACUGGGCGUAAAGCGCACGUAGGCGGAUUGUUAAGUCAGGGGUGAAAUCCUGGAGCUCAACUCCAGAACUGCCUUUGAUACUGGCGAUCUUGAGUCCGGGAGAGGUGGGUGGAACUGCGAGUGUAGAGGUGAAAUUCGUAGAUAUUCGCAAGAACACCAGUGGCGAAGGCGGCUCACUGGUCCGGUACUGACGCUGAGGUGCGAAAGCGUGGGGAGCAAACAGG